UAUGGCCAUGGUGAAUUUUCUAAAUAUGUGAAAGUUUUUGUACAAUUAAAUUGAUUUUUAGUUAGUUUCAAGUUUUUUUUCCUAUCUGUGUAUUGCCACCCCACCCUAGUGCACAAUUUUCUCUCUGCGUUGGGUUGUUUUCUUCUAUUUGGUCGGGCUUCUGAUUCUUUAACAUUUUCCUCAUUUCCAUUCUCAAUUUUAUCAAGGAUUUACUAUACUCAACGACUUUUAAAGACAGUUACAUAUAUGCUGUUUAUGUCUUUCCUUUGCGGAAGCAACGUAAAGAAAGAGAUGGACAGCAAAUUUUAAUGUGAUUC
Molecule: long non-coding RNA, 317 nt
Filed under: Mytilus galloprovincialis (Mediterranean mussel)
Lineage: Eukaryota; Metazoa; Mollusca; Bivalvia; Mytilida; Mytilidae
Source: RNAcentral